Carassius carassius (crucian carp) is the source of this 412-nucleotide long non-coding RNA. RefSeq lists it as uncharacterized. The record is from RefSeq and is a predicted model, not a curated record. NCBI's taxonomy places the organism in Eukaryota, Metazoa, Chordata, Actinopteri, Cypriniformes, Cyprinidae. The transcript is spliced from 2 exons.
CGAUAAACUCAUGCUAUCAUUUUAAAAAUUCACUGACAGCAGAACUAUGAGACGUCAUUCAGAGAAAGGAUCAGAAUCCAAAAUAUAGUUUUUCCAGUGCAGCGGAUGAAAGGAAGCUUCACUCUCGUACUUAUUUUCUUUGCAAGUCAAACUGAGGACGUCACUGAAGAUCUGCUUUCUCCUCAUGUUCAGCUGAUGAUAAGACUAACACUUGAAAAAUGCUGUAAAGUGAGAAUGUGUUUCUUAGUUUGUGAGACAUGCACUAACAAGCACAGCACUGUGUUUACAUGAAGUAUGACAGAAGCCAAGAAUAUUUCUGAGUAAAUAUGAUAGGAUCUGUUACAUUUGUCUUCAUUGUUCAGUGGUUUAACUGAAGUGUUAACUGUGAUGAUAAAGUGUUUAUAGUCUUAAA